RNAcentral lists this long non-coding RNA (834 nucleotides) under Bos taurus (domestic cattle). RNAcentral describes it as "long non-coding RNA NONBTAT008257". The record is from RNAcentral. Lineage: Eukaryota; Metazoa; Chordata; Mammalia; Artiodactyla; Bovidae.
CUUAGUGUGCCUGUUUUAUAGGUAAAUUGAGGCAUUUGUCCAAAAUAAAUGUUGAAAAGUUAAGAGUCUGCCAACUCACGUAGAAGUGAGAAGAGGAUAAAAUAACCCCACAAAUGCCAUCUACCCCUGCUUCCUGACUGACAACCAUCCAGAUGGGCAGCUGAGCCCCUCCGGGCACAUUGGGCAAAUUCAGCCCACCUCAUCACAUGCUAAAAACCCUACACUCGGAACUGAGUGGGGCUAUAAUUUGACCUGGGGAGAGCAAGGUUGUAAUAGAAACUCUAGUCCCUGAGCACAGACCUGAAGAAGGUUCAUUUACGAAACACAACCUGUUUUUCAUAGCUUUGGGUCACUGCUGCCAACCCUGCACCCGUGGUUCCUGGGCCGCAGACACCUACCUCCAGUGGCUGUUUGCAGUCUGAUCGGGUCCCAAAGUCUGUCUAGAAAUGGGGGCCAGGACAGUUCUUAACUGUUAGAAAUAAAUCAGUAGUAGCCAGAAAUGGAAAGACCAUUUAACUACUUGUUGGAAUAAGGAUUAAACUUAGUCAGAAAUUGUCUGAGACCUGGUUAGAAUAGCUCUAAAGACCAUACUGAUGUAUUGUAGAAUAUAUUGAAAGUAACUGGAGAGGUUUUUUUUUUUGUCUUCCAAUAAAGUGUUUUGGGCACUCUUGGUACUGAGAAUUUUCCAAAUGGUGUGGUUUUUGUUGACUCUUCCAAAUGCUUCAUUUUUCAUGUCACAGAAUUUUAGUAUAAACAGUUUAUUUACUUGGUAAAUUAUACUGCUAGGAUAUAGUCAAGCAGCAUAAAAUGUUAUUAGUAAUUGGAAUACCAAUU